This is a non-coding RNA of Acanthosepion pharaonis, 113 nucleotides long. Lineage: Eukaryota; Metazoa; Mollusca; Cephalopoda; Sepiida; Sepiidae. The record is from the annotation of a GenBank genome assembly.
UUGUGACCACAUCAUGUUGAAACACCAGUUCCUGUACAAACACUAAAGUUAAGCAACAAUGAAUCUGAUCAGUACCUAGAUGGGUGACCACUUGGGAAUACCAGGUGCUGAAA